UCCAUUGGAACAGGACGUCAUAGAUGGGUGAGAAUCCACGUAUGUGACGUGGAAUAUGUUAUACCUUAUCUGUAUAAGCUCCUUCGAGCAGAGUCGAGUUGUUUGGGAAUGCAGCUCUAUAAUGGGUAGGUAAAUUUCUUUCUAAAGCUANAUAUUGGCGUAGAGUAUCCGAUAGCGCUACAUAGUAGUAGUGAUCGAAAAGAUGAAAAGCAUCUUUGUAAAGAGAGUUAAAAAGCACGUGAAAUGUGUUGAAAGGGAAGCGCUUGCAAUCAGACUUGUUUAAACUGUUCGGCCGGUCUUCUGACCGGUUUACUCAGUUUGGACAGGCCAGCAUCAGUUUCGAAANUCCGGAUAAGGGCUCUGGGAAUGUGGCCUUCACUUCGGUGAAGGUGUUAUAGCUUACGGCUAAUGCGGCCAGCCGGGACUGAGUUCACGCUUCGGUAGAUGCUG
Molecule: ribosomal RNA, 450 nt
Filed under: Aureobasidium pullulans
Lineage: Eukaryota; Fungi; Ascomycota; Dothideomycetes; Dothideales; Saccotheciaceae
Description: eukaryotic LSU rRNA
Rfam family: Eukaryotic large subunit ribosomal RNA
Source: RNAcentral